AACGAACGCUGGCGGCAUGCCUAACACAUGCAAGUCGAACGAGACCUUCGGGUCUAGUGGCGCACGGGUGCGUAACGCGUGGGAACCUGCCCUUAGGUUCGGAAUAACUCCCCGAAAGGGGUGCUAAUACCGGAUAAUGUCUUCGGACCAAAGAUUUAUCGCCUUUGGAUGGGCCCGCGUUGGAUUAGCUAGUUGGUAGGGUAAAAGCCUACCAAGGCGACGAUCCAUAGCUGGUCUGAGAGGAUGAUCAGCCACACUGGGACUGAGACACGGCCCAGACCCUUCGGGGAGGCAGCAGGGGGGAAAAUGGGACAAGGGGCGAAAGCCUGAUCCAGCAAGGCCGGGUGGGUGAUGAAGGCCUUGGGGUUGUAAAGCUCUUUUACCCGGGAUGAUAAUGACAGUCCCGGGAGAAAAAGCCCCGGCUAACUCCGG
This 432-nucleotide ribosomal RNA is filed under the name uncultured bacterium. RNAcentral's name for it is "partial 16S ribosomal RNA". It matches the Rfam family "Bacterial small subunit ribosomal RNA", at positions 29 to 506 of the family's 1533-position model. The record is from RNAcentral.